RNAcentral lists this long non-coding RNA (932 nucleotides) under Gallus gallus (chicken). RNAcentral describes it as "lncRNA (ENSGALG00010025187.1)". The record is from RNAcentral. Lineage: Eukaryota; Metazoa; Chordata; Aves; Galliformes; Phasianidae.
CUUCCCAGCCUCCAUAACUCUUCCUGAGCAGCUCCGGAUCAGAAAUGGGUUAUAGAGAGUCCCUGAAGAGUGAUGUGGAGCUGUUCUGCAUGGAUAGAAACUUUAGGAAAUCCCCAUGUCUGGGAUGUGGCACAGCUGCCCAGUGAGGUGGUGGGGUCACUGCCCCUGGAGAUAGUCCUGGAGAGCCAUGGAGGAGCAUGGAGCAAACAACGGCUGGGUCUGCUUGUGGAGAAGGCCCUUGCAAGCAAAUAUCCCUUGAUGAAACAGUCUCAUGAACUGCAAAGCUUCUUCACCGAGGCGCACUGGAACAAGCUACAUUGAGAUGUGCAAUUUGGCUUUCUAAACUCCCCUGGAAAGAAUUUGCAGCCUGGUGAGCAGGCAGAACAAGUACAUUGGGGCAAACACUGCCAGCCCCCGGCGCCCUCCUGCAGAGCAGAAGUCAAAGAAGCAGCUGGCAUCUUUUCCUCCUGCUUUCUGUAGUCUAACUCAUGUUUGUAGCGCUUUGAUUUCUAUGUCGGCGGUCAGGAUGUUCUUCUUUGAGGAAAGCAAAGCCUGGCUCACUGAUUUGAGCCUUCAUGAUGGACAAAGAUGAGAAACGUUGGUGUGGCAGAGAGAAGGCACGGCAGAAACCUCUUCUGCUGGAGAUGCCUGGAUUAGUGGCUCUCACUCAUGGCAGCGUGGCCUUUUAGUUUUUAUUUCCUAUUAUAGAUGAUUGAUUUUUCACUCUGUGCUGCAUGGAAAUGUCUGUCUGCUUUCCACUUAAAAGCUUUGUGUUGCUCAUGGAGCUUGUGUGCUAUAUAUAUAUAUAUAUGUAGCCUAUAGGAGUCAUCUCAACUAUUCCCACAUGGGAACAACUCUGCAUCCACCAAAAUUUUCAUCCAGCUGCCUGAUUUGGUUCCCCUGUCAAUAAAAACAAGAAGACCCAAACAUUG